RNAcentral lists this ribosomal RNA (505 nucleotides) under uncultured bacterium. Its description in RNAcentral is "bacterial SSU rRNA". It matches the Rfam family "Bacterial small subunit ribosomal RNA", at positions 8 to 526 of the family's 1533-position model. The record is from RNAcentral.
AGAGUUUGAUCCUGGCUCAGGAUGAACGCUGGCGGCGUGCUUAACACAUGCAAGUCGAACGAUGAAGCCCUGCUUGCAGGGUGGAUUAGUGGCGAACGGGUGAGUAACACGUGAGUAACCUGCCCCUGACUCUGGGAUAAGCCCGGGAAACUGGGUCUAAUACCGGAUAUGACUUCCUACUGCAUGGUGGGUUGUUGAAAGAUUUAUCGGUGGGGGAUGGACUCGCGGCCUAUCAGCUUGUUGGUGAGGUAAUGGCUCACCAAGGCGACGACGGGUAGCCGGCCUGAGAGGGUGACCGGCCACACUGGGACUGAGACACGGCCCAGACUCCUACGGGAGGCAGCAGUGGGGAAUAUUGCACAAUGGGCGGAAGCCUGAUGCAGCGACGCCGCGUGAGGGAUGACGGCCUUCGGGUUGUAAACCUCUUUCAGUAGGGAAGAAGCGAAAGUGACGGUACCUGCAGAAGAAGCGCCGGCUAACUACGUGCCAGCCGCCGCGGUAAUAC